GCGCUGCCGAGGCCCAGAAGCCCGCCCCAGGACACCCACUGGCCGCACACCGCCCCCGGGAUGCCGCAGGCCCCAAGCAAGCCCUGGACCGUGCAGAAUAGCCCAGCCCCCGAGAGGGGCAGCGAUAGCGGUGUCACUCAGGGUGUCCAGCUAGUACCUACCUCCUGGGACUGUUGAGAAAUGCUGAGUAUGCCGAUGAAGUGGUGCAGGGUGUAUCACCCCAGGGGACGCUGCUUUGAAGAUGAAAUUCCUAUAUGAAAGAUGUCCUCCCUAAUAUCAGAAGGAAAGUACCGUUCUUAUCAUCAAGGAGAGAAGAUAAGACCAAGAGAAUUCUAAACAAACAGACCUUGUUAAAAUAGUUCUUAUCUUCCUUUAGCCUCCCCACAUUGUUAAGUCACUUGUCCACAAUUGCUUCUCUUUGUUCAACCCAAUAUAAAAGCUAAUAAGUUUUGCCAUUUAUUUGGGUCUUCAUUUCCUUAUGAAGGCUCCUGUAUCAUGUAAAACAAUAUGAAUUAGUAUGCUUUUCUUGCAUUAAUCUAUUUUUGUCAGUUUAAUUUUUAGGCCCAACCAGGGACCCUAGGA
This is a long non-coding RNA of Lagenorhynchus albirostris (white-beaked dolphin), 582 nucleotides long. RefSeq lists it as uncharacterized. The transcript has 3 exons. The record is from RefSeq and is a predicted model, not a curated record. NCBI's taxonomy places the organism in Eukaryota, Metazoa, Chordata, Mammalia, Artiodactyla, Delphinidae.